AUUGAACGCUGGCGGCAGGCCUAACACAUGCAAGUCGAGCGGAUGAAGGGAGCUUGCUCCUGGAUUCAGCGGCGGACGGGUGAGUAAUGCCUAGGAAUCUGCCUGGCAGUGGGGGAUAACGUCCGGAAACGGGCGCUAAUACCGCAUACGUCCUGAGGGAGAAAGUGGGGGAUCUUCGGACCUCACGCUAUCAGAUGAGCCUAGGUCGGAUUAGCUAGUUGGUGGGGUAAAGGCCUACCAAGGCGACGAUCCGUAACUGGUCUGAGAGGAUGAUCAGUCACACUGGAACUGAGACACGGUCCAGACGCCUACGGGAGGCAGCAGUGGGGAAUAUUGGACAAUGGGCGAAAGCCUGAUCCAGCCAUGCCGCGUGUGUGAAGAAGGUCUUCGGAUUGUAAAGCACUUUAAGUUGGGAGGAAGGGCAGUAAGUUAAUACCUUGCUGUUUUGACGUUACCAACAGAAUAAGCACCGGCUAACUUCGUG
Molecule: ribosomal RNA, 484 nt
Filed under: uncultured bacterium
Lineage: Bacteria
Description: partial 16S ribosomal RNA
Rfam family: Bacterial small subunit ribosomal RNA
Source: RNAcentral